RNAcentral lists this ribosomal RNA (258 nucleotides) under uncultured bacterium. Its description in RNAcentral is "partial 16S ribosomal RNA". It matches the Rfam family "Bacterial small subunit ribosomal RNA", at positions 95 to 354 of the family's 1533-position model. The record is from RNAcentral.
CCGGCGCACGGGUGAGUAACACGUAUGGAACCUGCCCGCAGCAGGGGGAUAAGCGGAAGAAAUUCCGUCUAAUACCGCGUAACACCGCAGAGGGGCAUCCUCGGCGGUUAAAGAUUCAUCGGCUGCGGAUGGCCAUGCGGCGCAUUAGCUAGUCGGCGGGGUAACGGCCCACCGAGGCGACGAUGCGUAGGGGUUCUGAGAGGAAGGUCCCCCACACUGGUACUGAGACACGGACCAGACUCCUACGGGAGGCAGCAG